Ictalurus punctatus (channel catfish) is the source of this 3913-nucleotide long non-coding RNA. NCBI's taxonomy places the organism in Eukaryota, Metazoa, Chordata, Actinopteri, Siluriformes, Ictaluridae. The record is from Ensembl.
CAGGAAGAUACAGCCAAACUCAAUAUGGCGUCCACACGUGUAUCGGGACUUCUUUCCACUAAUGAGAAGGUAUGAUAUUUUAAGGAUUAGCGCUGAUUCAAUUCACAGUGUGUGCAAAAAGAUAGGACAGUUAUGACACACUCCUGCAAAACUUGUUGGUGAAACAGAUGAGCACAGACAUUCAAAGUAUUUAACCAUCUUAGUCACACACGCACACGCACACACCCACACGUGUGGGGGUGUGUGUGUGUUGUGUUUUUGUGUGUACUGUCCACACUAUUUUGAAUAUAAAACUCGAUUUGUUCCAUUUGGUUUACAGUAGCAUUCACUUUGCAUGUUAAAGGUCUUAUUUUAACUUCGAAUUGUGAGAUGUUUGUUCUCCUCACGGCCCAAUUGAAAGUGAAACUGCCAUAGAUUCAAUGAUCACAGAGGUUUCAGAUCAGAGUUUUUCUCCAUCCACUUUUCUGAAGUAGUAGCUUCCAGGAUGAAUCAUUUGGUCUGCUUACUAUUGUAAUGUAUAACUCCUCUAUACUGUACCACUCAAUCACCACUGAUGCCCUUAUAGUCCGUCUGGUAAACACAGCAAAGAAUCUUGAUGUGAAUCUAGACGAUGAGCUAGAUAACACAGAAGUCAGAAAAUGACUUAGACAUCUAAGACAAAAUGAGUAUUAACAAGUUUAGGGUGCCUAAGACUUUUGAAUAGUACUGUAGAGUAUGUGAGGGGGCAUGGUGGCUUAGUGGGUACCCCUCCAGAGUUGGGGGUUCGAAUCCUGACUCUGCCCUGUGUGUGCGGAGUUUACAUGUUCUCAACAUGCUUCGGGGGUUUCCUCCAGUUUCCUCCCCCAGUCCAAAGACAUCAGUUGUAGGUUGAUUGGUAUUUCUAAAUUGUCUGUAGUGCAUGAAUGUGUGUGUGUGUGUGUGUGUGAUUGUGCCCUGUGAUGGGUUGGUAGCCCGAGUUCCCUUGGAUAGGCUCCAGGCUCCCUGUAACCCUGUGUAGGAUAAGCAGUAUGGAAAACGGAUGGAUGGAUGGAGGGAUGUACAGUAUAUGAGCAAUUUAUUUUGUAAGGCAAUGCUGCCACUCUUGCAGUGGAAUUUAAUCAAUGGACACCUCUUUUCAACAUCUGAGCUGUCUGUUAUUGUGAACGCUGUGUGACCAAGACAAUACGACCGGAAGUAUCCGCUGUACUGCCGAUUGUUUACAAUGUUCCCUAUGUAGUUAAGUUUACUAUUAAUAACUUCAGGAAUGAUUACUUCACAGUUCGUACACUUUGAGGGAACACAACAGGUCAUCAUGGGGCUAUAAUGAGUAAUACUCAAAACACACACUCACAAUGAUGCGUAUUACGUAUUUCCUGCUCACGUACCAGGAAGAUACAACUAAACUCAAUAUGGCGUCCACAUGUGUAUCGGGAUUUUUUUCCACAAAUGAGAAGGUAUGAUAUUUUAAGGAUUAGCACUGAUUCAAUUCACUGUGUUUGCAAAAAUAUAGGACAGUUAUGACACAAUCUUGCAAAAAAUUUUAGCGAAAUAGAUGAGCACAGACUUUCGAAAUUUUUUACCAUCUUAGUCACACACGCACAGACCCACACGUGUGGGUGUGUGUCUGUUGUGGUUUUCUGUGUACUGACCAAAUUAUUUUGAAUAUGAAACUUCCUCUUGCUUUACUGUAGUGUUCACUUUACAUGUUAAAAGGUCUUAUUUUAUCUUUGAAUACCAAGAUGUUUUUUUCGCCUCAGGAUCUAAUUCCGGUUAAUUUUCCACGUAAUGUAUAUAAAUUACACAUCCCUCACCUCCACAUUAUGGAACAAACUAAUGAGAAGUAAACAUACCAUCACACUAUAUUUUCAGAUUAGUUUUAGAUCUCUGCAAUCAUGUAACUUAAUGUAACACCAGUCAGGAUACCAGGGAAUUGCACAUUCUUGGGUUAAUCACAGUAAAUCACAGUUUGCAUAAUGGCUUAUGAUCACAGUACUGUUAAAAUUCUCAAAAUUGCUUGGUGUUCUGGCUACAAGGCAUCAUUUAAUGUCAGUAUUGUCAAAGUGCUGUGGUAAAAGGAAUAAAUCAGUUUGGGACUUUGGAAAAUAAUCAACUUCAGGGUGGUAACACAUCACACCAAACCAUCAUGUUUUAUUCCUUGCAUAUAUUACGUGUACUAAUCAUAGGUCAUGAAACAUGUCUAAAACCAUACAGAGAAAGUCAUUUCAUUUUAAUAUAACCAUAUGAAAACGUUACUAAUUCAGAUUGCAGAACUACAAUAUAAAUCUAUAACUCACUGAGCAACUAUUAGAGUCUGAAAUAUUUAAUUGUUGUGUUUGUCUCUCUCUGUAAAUAGCUAAAAAUAGCAUGUGUAUUAGCAUUACUGUCGAAAAGUCUUCGGCACCCAUUCACCCAUUUAUUCCAAUCAUUUAUUUUGCACAAAAAAAAGGUCCAUCACGUUAAAUGUUAUACCAUUAAAGAAAGGCAGAUGUUAAGUAAUAAAUCAACUGUACAGAAAUCCCAGUGUCUUUUGUGUGCUUUCUCUUUCAGAUUCCUGUACAAUGUAUGGAUGACCCCUUUGGGUUCAAAGCUGAGGUGAUUUAUGGAGAUGAGUCCAUUCCUCUGUAUCGGUGUACCCCAUUUCUCACCGUCCAUAGUAGGCAGCACAUGCCCACUGUCUACGGCAAUGAAAGCUCUGGUGCUGAAGUUGAGGAUACCCACAUCUUUGAAUCACUUCAUACAGCUGAAUCAAGACAUCAAAUGCAGGACAUGUCAAGUGCUGAUGACCGUAGACAACCUAAUGCCAGACCACGUCCUGUCUGGCCCGAGGACACUGAUGCUCACUACAGUCGCAAUCAUCUAACCUUUACUGAUGGUGGCUUUCCACUAACCAUGGCUAUGGGUGGAAUGGGAAACUACAAGCCUCAGCAGAUAGAGAGUCUUGUACUGCCGGAGGAGGAAGAAUGGGACAAGAAUCCAAGAACAAGGAUGAAAAAAGGGGGGAAAAGAGGAGGGAAAAAAUCCCGUAGAAAGCAACGGCAAUAUUGACGAAAUAUGGAAAAUGCACUUAAUGCACUUGUAUAAUGCAUUAAUACUUUAACUAGCUUUUUCUAUAGUGUAGACUAUGCUGUUCCUUUAUAGUCCAAACUUUAUAGUCCAGAGUCGUUUAUGUGCAUUUCUUCUGUGUCUUUUUUAUGUAUGUAAACUGCACAAAAUAGAGAUCAGAUGACGCAACAAACUGCAAACAAAAUUGACUUGAAAAAGACUGGUGUAGGUUCUCAUCUACCAGAAUAUACCUGUACUCCAGCAGAAGAAACCAGUACUGCCCUUCAUAGUGUGGUCCAGGGUGCUCAAUACUCUUAACCAUGUCUCUGGCAACGCCAUCCAUUUAACUCAAAUGUUUGUGUUUGGUGGAUGAGAAUAACUGUGCUAAAUGUACCUUUUCAAUCACACACAAGAUUCCAUUUGCUGAGCAAGUAUUAAACAAGGCUAGUGUAAUGAACAUGCAACAGAAAGGAGAUCAUUCUAGAAACUUCACUUAAAAAAAACCAAGGUAACCAAAAUUCUCAUUUCUCAAGAUACAGAGUCAACAGUUUCUAUUAAACUGUCAGAGUCAGUCAUUCCUAUAACAUUCUUAUUGUCAUUUCUUUGCAUACUUGUUCAUUUCAAGUUUAUGUUCAAGUGCUCCAUAGAUUUCAAUAGUGCAUUUGCUAGCGACAUUGCUGUAUUUGCAAUCUGUAUUGCUGACAUCUGUUACCUAAGCAAAUAAAACAACAGCACUUGACAACAAGGACUGAAUAAAACAAAAGAAAGGAUUCCCCCAAGGGGAAACACUGAGAAAAAGAUGACAAGGAUGUGUUAAAAAGAAUACUGAAACUCACCCAUUAGCCAUAACCAUAGUAGUUGAAGUCUUGUAGUUGCAUCUUGUGAUUUCCUG